UGCCGCGUGUGUGAGAAGGCCUUCGGGUUGUAAAGCACUUUCAGUCGUGAGGAAGGUAGUGUAGUUAAUAGCUGCAUUAUUUGACGUUAGCGACAGAAGAAGCACCGGCUAACUCCGUGCCAGCAGCCGCGGUAAUACGGAGGGUGCGAGCGUUAAUCGGAAUUACUGGGCGUAAAGCGCAUGCAGGUGGUUUGUUAAGUCAGAUGUGAAAGCCCGGGGCUCAACCUCGGAAUUGCAUUUGAAACUGGCAGACUAGAGUACUGUAGAGGGGGGUAGAAUUUCAGGUGUAGCGGUGAAAUGCGUAGAGAUCUGAAGGAAUACCGGUGGCGAAGGCGGCCCCCUGGACAGAUACUGACACUCAGAUGCGAAAGCGUGGGGAGCAAACAGGAUUAGAUACCCCU
RNAcentral lists this ribosomal RNA (401 nucleotides) under Vibrio parahaemolyticus. RNAcentral describes it as "bacterial SSU rRNA". It matches the Rfam family "Bacterial small subunit ribosomal RNA", at positions 395 to 788 of the family's 1533-position model. Lineage: Bacteria; Pseudomonadati; Pseudomonadota; Gammaproteobacteria; Vibrionales; Vibrionaceae. The record is from RNAcentral.